GCCUAGCUGGCUCAGUUGGUAGAGCAUCAGACCCUUGAUCUUGGGGUCAUGAGUUUCAGCCCCAUGUUGGGUG
RNAcentral lists this transfer RNA (73 nucleotides) under Felis catus (domestic cat). It matches the Rfam family "tRNA". Rfam says of the family: Transfer RNA (tRNA) molecules are approximately 80 nucleotides in length. Their secondary structure includes four short double-helical elements and three loops (D, anti-codon, and T loops). The record is from Rfam by way of RNAcentral. RNAcentral also lists the same sequence under 4 other names. Lineage: Eukaryota; Metazoa; Chordata; Mammalia; Carnivora; Felidae.